Molecule: long non-coding RNA, 254 nt
Filed under: Eucalyptus grandis
Lineage: Eukaryota; Viridiplantae; Streptophyta; Magnoliopsida; Myrtales; Myrtaceae
Description: long non-coding RNA (EGRA_LNC003258)
Source: RNAcentral
UGUUGAAGCAUCCCUGGCACUUCACAUCCUGAAACCCAAAACGCAAAAGUAAGUUAAUUACACAAUUCUGCACUACCUUUCUAAAUACGUGCUCGACGCUAAAAGAAAGAAAGACUGCAGACGAUGACCCCUCCCCAAAUGCUAAUCAGAUGGUAAGUUCAUAAUUCUAAAAAAUCCAAACUUUCCGACAGCCAACGCACGUUUACAUCCUUAUCAAAGACCAAAUCAUUAACCACAACAAUUUAACAAACACA